Long non-coding RNA from Miniopterus natalensis, 501 nucleotides. RefSeq lists it as uncharacterized. Lineage: Eukaryota; Metazoa; Chordata; Mammalia; Chiroptera; Miniopteridae. The record is from RefSeq and is a predicted model, not a curated record.
CUAGUGUUCUUGUUUUUUCUUCUGUUCCCCCUGAGAGUUUGAGAGUGUUAUUUUAUUGGAAAUCUCCCGUUUUAUAUUUCUACUCUUUAGUGGUACAGUUCGUAUUUUUUAGCAAACAGUUCCAGCGAUUUUGACGACCUUCCUACAUCAACCCCAACAACAAAUGGGGGGAAAAAAAGAAAAAGAAAGAAAGAACCUAAAAGCCAGAGCUUGGCGUGAAAAUUGGAUUAUCUGAAAGACAAAACGACUGAUGCAGAGUUCGCACCAAGUAAAGGAUUUUUACUUCUUCCUUUAAGUGUUUGAAAAAUCAAACUCAACAUUUUCAUGGAAAAUAUAACCAAGUGAUUAACCUGAAGUACAUAUGGUUAAGUGUGAAUCAAGGACUGAAACUGGCUACUUGACAAGUGUUUGGCACAAAUAUGAACAUACAUGGAACAAAGAAGACUAAAGGACAAGUAAGGCCACCAGAAAUCUUUGGUUGUUUUCUAUAAAAUAUAUCCU